UGCUGGCAGUGCUGGUGGCGUUAAGAUGGGUGGAAGAGGCUAGACACACCAAGGUACUGAUUUGCUCAGAUUCUUUAUCAGUUUUAGCAAGCUUGAAAUCAUUUCAUUCUAAUAGCCGUCAAGACAUUUUAUAUGGAGUUUUGCAGUCACUUACUAGAAUAGUGAAUAGAGGGGGUCUGGUUACAUUUAUGUGGGUACCAGCACAUGUAGGGGUGAAAGGGAAUGAGAGGGCAGAUGAGUUAGCGAAGAGGGCGUUAAGGAAAGGAAGAAUAGAAAUGGAAGUAAGUAUCAGUAAGGCGGAGGUUAAGAGUGUCAUUUGGGGGAAAACCAAUCAAAUGUGGCAAGAGAGGUGGAACAGAGAGGGCAAAGGGAGGCAUUUAUUUCACAUACAAAACAGCAUCAGGGUCACUAGGGCAGGUAUGGGGCACAGGAGAGAGGGAGUGGUGAUAAUGAGGUUAAGGCUAGGGCACUGUUCACUUAAUAAGUCACUUAAACUGGUAGGGAAGCAUCGGACAGGACUGUGUGAGAGGUGUCAGGAAGAGGAGGAGUCAGUGGAUCAUGUACUUUUGAGGUGUAGGGCAUAUGGGGCACAGAGAGAGGUGAUGAGGAACAGUCUGAGGGAGUUAGGGGUCCAAGAGUUUAAUUUAAAAGGAGUAAUGGAAAUGAGUGAGAGAGCACGAGUCAGGGUAGUAGUGAAGUUUUUAAGGGACACAGGGUUUUUUUAUAAGGUAUAAGGUAGGUUAGGAAUGGUGUAGCUAUAUAGGGUAGGACUAAAUGUGUGUGUG
Molecule: long non-coding RNA, 785 nt
Organism: Epinephelus moara (kelp grouper)
Lineage: Eukaryota; Metazoa; Chordata; Actinopteri; Perciformes; Serranidae
Exons: 3
Source: RefSeq, a predicted model, not a curated record